AUUGAACGCUGGCGGCAGGCCUAACACAUGCAAGUCGAACGAGUGGCGGAAGGGUGAGUAAUGUCUGGGAAACUGCCUGAUGGAGGGGGAUAACUACUGGAAACGGUAGCUAAUACCGCAUACCAUCAGAUGUGCCCAGAUUGGAUUAGCUAGUUGGUGGGGUAACGGCUCACCAAGGCGACGAUCCCUAGCUGGUCUGAGAGGAUGACCAGCCCCACUGGAACUGAGCCCCGGUCCCGACUCCUAGUGAAGCCAGCAGAGGGGAAUAUUGCACAAUGGGCGCAAGCCUGAUGCAGCCAUGCCGCGUGUAUGAAGAAGGCCUGCGGGUUGUAAAGUACUUUCAGCGGGGAGGCGUUACCCGCAGAAGAAGCACCGGCUAACUCCGUGCCAGCAGCCGCGGUAAUAC
RNAcentral lists this ribosomal RNA (406 nucleotides) under uncultured bacterium. Its description in RNAcentral is "partial 16S ribosomal RNA". It matches the Rfam family "Bacterial small subunit ribosomal RNA", at positions 30 to 526 of the family's 1533-position model. The record is from RNAcentral.